ACAUGCGUUCAACAUAUAUUUAAUGCACGAAAUCCCAUUAGAACUCUGCAGUUAAGCGCGCUUGAGCUAGAGUAGUACUGGGAUGGGUGAUUGCUCUAGAAGUCCUAGUAUUUUACAUGCC
This is a non-coding RNA of Picea glauca (white spruce), 121 nucleotides long. NCBI's taxonomy places the organism in Eukaryota, Viridiplantae, Streptophyta, Pinopsida, Pinales, Pinaceae. The record is from Rfam.